GCUGACCAGCUAGUCUACAGACGUGAGAUAAUGACAAGACAGGAUAUAUCUUCACAUCAAUUGAAUGCAUUAAAACAAACCAUUUUGCCGCCCGAGUAUAGGAGAUAGAAAAG
This 113-nucleotide ribosomal RNA is filed under the name Bathophilus sp. CBM:ZF:14209. RNAcentral's name for it is "partial 16S ribosomal RNA". Lineage: Eukaryota; Metazoa; Chordata; Actinopteri; Stomiiformes; Stomiidae. The record is from RNAcentral.